AGAGUUUGAUCCUGGCUCAGGAUGAACGCUAGCUACAGGCUUAACACAUGCAAGUCGAGGGGCAGCAUGAUUGAAGCUUGCUUCAAUUGAUGGCGACCGGCGCACGGGUGAGUAACGCGUAUCCAACCUUCCGUACACUCAGGGAUAGCCUUUCGAAAGAAAGAUUAAUACCUGAUGGUAUGAUGAGAUUGCAUGAUAGCAUCAUUAAAGAUUUAUCGGUGUACGAUGGGGAUGCGUUCCAUUAGGUAGUAGGCGGGGUAACGGCCACCUAGCCUACGAUGGAUAGGGGUUCUGAGAGGAAGGUCCCCCANAUUGGAACUGAGACACGGUCCAAACUCCUACGGGAGGCA
This 350-nucleotide ribosomal RNA is filed under the name uncultured bacterium. Its description in RNAcentral is "bacterial SSU rRNA". It matches the Rfam family "Bacterial small subunit ribosomal RNA", at positions 8 to 350 of the family's 1533-position model. The record is from RNAcentral.